AGGGUGAUCGGCCACACUGGAACUGAGACACGGUCCAGACUCCUACGGGAGGCAGCAGUAGGGAAUCUUCCGCAAUGGGCGAAAGCCUGACGGAGCAACGCCGCGUGAGUGAUGAAGGUCUUCGGAUCGUAAAACUCUGUUAUUAGGGAAGAACAUAUGUGUAAGUAACUGUGCACAUCUUGACGGUACCUAAUCAGAAAGCCACGGCUAACUACGUGCCAGCAGCCGCGGUAAUACGUAGGUGGCAGCGUUAUCCGGAUUAUUGGGCGUAAGCGCGCGUAGGCGGUUUUUUAAGUCUGAUGUGAAAGCCCACGGCUCAACCGUGGAGGGUCAUUGGAAACUGGAAAACUUGAGUGCAGAAGAGGAAAGUGGAAUUCCAUGUGUAGCGGUGAAAUGCGCAGAGAUAUGGAGGAACACCAGUGGCGAAGGCGACUUUCUGGUCUGUAACUGACGCUGAUGUGCGAAAGCGUGGGGAUCAAACA
RNAcentral lists this ribosomal RNA (482 nucleotides) under uncultured Staphylococcus sp. RNAcentral's name for it is "bacterial SSU rRNA". It matches the Rfam family "Bacterial small subunit ribosomal RNA", at positions 297 to 774 of the family's 1533-position model. Lineage: Bacteria; Bacillati; Bacillota; Bacilli; Caryophanales; Staphylococcaceae. The record is from RNAcentral.